RNAcentral lists this ribosomal RNA (106 nucleotides) under Pseudoalteromonas luteoviolacea. RNAcentral's name for it is "partial 23S ribosomal RNA". The stretch from base 1 to 88 matches the Rfam family "Bacterial large subunit ribosomal RNA", at positions 2838 to 2925 of the family's 2925-position model. The record is from RNAcentral. Lineage: Bacteria; Pseudomonadati; Pseudomonadota; Gammaproteobacteria; Alteromonadales; Pseudoalteromonadaceae.
UUGAAGACUACAACGUUGAUAGGCGAGAUGUGGAAGUGCUGUGAGGCAUUGAGCUAACUCGUACUAAUUACCCGUGAGGCUUAACCAUACAACGCCAAAGUGGUUU